GGUCUACUAUCAACCACCACAAAAAUAAAAAACAAGGGCAUGGAUCCACAGGAAAAAUACUCAGGAGCUCGAAUCUGGCCUCAAUUUUCUCCAAUUCCAAGUAUAUUAAAAGAUACAUGGAUUUGAAUUUUGAGGAUCAUGAAUCGAGUUGCUUCGAUUUAACCUCAAAGCAACUCGAUCUUGUUGCCUAAAUUGGUAGGACUUCAGCCAACCAAAAAUCAAAGAGAAUGGUGAAGAAUUAAG
RNAcentral lists this long non-coding RNA (243 nucleotides) under Lathyrus oleraceus (garden pea). RNAcentral's name for it is "Pisum sativum (pea) long non-coding RNA (PSAT_LNC019534)". The record is from RNAcentral. Lineage: Eukaryota; Viridiplantae; Streptophyta; Magnoliopsida; Fabales; Fabaceae.